UAAUAUCAAGCAUGGGAAGGAGCGAAAAAUCAAAAUCUCUUUCUUCACACUUCUGGCGCGCAUACAAGAACCCAAUUGCGAGAACAGUCCCCUGCCUCCCUCACCAUUUAUGGCAUGCCACCGACUGCCUCCCCGCAGACUUCUGCCCAGGGCUCGAAAAUGGAAACUUGAUGGGAAAGUAAAUAUCAAGGAAGGCGAAAUUUGGGGUCCUUCGCUCCCAUCUGUUCGAUCCCUUCUCGGCCAAGGAAUGGAGCCAAGAAGUAGGAAAAGUUGGGGCAUUUCCGAGGUUUAAUGGGUGGGGGAGAAGCUCUCCCUAGCGGCAAUCUUAUCUCGGGAAGGCGAGAAGCCCCAAUUGAGAUCGAGAGCCGGUGAUCGGUUGGUCUUAGGCUUUUGGGGGGUUUUCUCGGGGAAGAAGGCGAAGAACAUAGAAAAGAGAAUAGAAAAGCAGGGUUCUUGUCGGGUUUAGGAGAGAGAAGUUGGGAUUUGGGUGCUUUUUUUUGGGGGGCAGAAAAGCUAGAAGAGCAGAGAAAAGGAGCGGAAAAGCAGGAUUUUUUUUUUUUUUUGAGUUUUUAGGGGGAGGAGAGAGAGAGAGAGAGAGAGAGAGAGAGAGAGAGAGGAG
This 619-nucleotide long non-coding RNA is filed under the name Phoenix dactylifera (date palm). RNAcentral's name for it is "long non-coding RNA (PDAC_LNC002775)". Lineage: Eukaryota; Viridiplantae; Streptophyta; Magnoliopsida; Arecales; Arecaceae. The record is from RNAcentral.